GGUUGUUGCCCACUCUGCGCUCUCUCUCCCUGAUACGCAAUACUAUAUUCUCAGGGGGGCCUGCAGUGGAAAUGUCGAUCGUCACCGCUGAUGCAUUCCCAUGCGCAACGGAGUGCCGCUUCAUUGGCAUUGCGGCAGUGCCAUCUAUAUUUCCACAAGGAGCUAUGCCAAGGGUUAAACUCCUCUGCUUUGGCUUCCCCGCCGUGUGGAUUUCCCUCGGUGACUUUGCUUUCGGCAUGGGACACCUCCCCUCCCUGAAGUAUGUCCAGGUUGAGCUUCUAUGUGAAAAAGCAACUGACGUCGAGCUGGAGGAAGCAGAAGCUGCAGUGAGGGCCGCAGUGGAGGAGCAUCCCAACGGCAUGCACCUUAAUUUGUCCAGUUGGUAAUGUUGCCACAUUGCUAAAGGGGGAGGAAGAUGCAAAUGCUGCAUGUGAUGAGGUGGAGGGAUUGAUUCGUCAAACCACGAAAUCUGGUACUCCAUCAGUUAGUAGCACACUAGCACCAAACUACACGGUGGCAGCAACUAACAGAUUUCGUCGUCAUGGAUUCAAUAGAUCGCGCGGCAGCUUCCUACUUCCCAUGUGUCUGCUUCCGUUCCAACCAAGACUGUCAAGAGCAUUGUAUUUCUGUUACCGUUUGAUCAUCUUGUGCAACGAGGUAAAGCUCUCGUGCAUACUGUCCGCUUAUGUCUGAAAUUUCCUUGAGGGCAACUAAAGAACAAUGAGGUUUGUAGGGCAGACCCCAUGCAUUUUUCCCAUGAUGAACCAUUAAUUAUUUUCCUGGUUUGUUUCCACUGAUUUGUUUGUAACAUCAUUCAGACUUCCGGAGUUGUGAAUUGAAAUGUCGCUUUCGGUUUGUACAAGUAUUCUGAAGUUAUACCUUGUACUCCUUCCGUAAAAAAAUAUGAGAGUUAGAUCA
This is a long non-coding RNA of Hordeum vulgare subsp. vulgare (domesticated barley), 918 nucleotides long. RefSeq lists it as uncharacterized. The record is from RefSeq and is a predicted model, not a curated record. Lineage: Eukaryota; Viridiplantae; Streptophyta; Magnoliopsida; Poales; Poaceae. The transcript has 4 exons.